This 527-nucleotide ribosomal RNA is filed under the name Salmonella enterica. RNAcentral describes it as "bacterial SSU rRNA". The record is from RNAcentral. Lineage: Bacteria; Pseudomonadati; Pseudomonadota; Gammaproteobacteria; Enterobacterales; Enterobacteriaceae.
UAACGCGUUAAGUAGACCGCCUGGGGAGUACGGCCGCAAGGUUAAAACUCAAAUGAAUUGACGGGGGCCCGCACAAGCGGUGGAGCAUGUGGUUUAAUUCGAUGCAACGCGAAGAACCUUACCUGGUCUUGACAUCCACGGAAGWWUUCAGAGAUGRRWWUGUGCCUUCGGGAACCGUGAGACAGGUGCUGCAUGGCUGUCGUCAGCUCGUGUUGUGAAAUGUUGGGUUAAGUCCCGCAACGAGCGCAACCCUUAUCCUUUGUUGCCAGCGAUUAGGUCGGGAACUCAAAGGAGACUGCCAGUGAUAAACUGGAGGAAGGUGGGGAUGACGUCAAGUCAUCAUGGCCCUUACGACCAGGGCUACACACGUGCUACAAUGGCGCAUACAAAGAGAAGCGACCUCGCGAGAGCAAGCGGACCUCAUAAAGUGCGUCGUAGUCCGGAUUGGAGUCUGCAACUCGACUCCAUGAAGUCGGAAUCGCUAGUAAUCGUGGAUCAGAAUGCCACGGUGAAUACGUUCCCGGGCC